CACACACACCUGUGCACAGCUAGUUGCUCUCUGGGAAAGAGGUGCUCCAGCUGUGGGACUGGCUCCCUGUGGGUGACACCUUGUCUCUGUCCUAUCUCAUCCCCCCCCCCCAAACACACACAUGCUGCAUGGUGCACCCCUGCUAGGAUCUGGAGAUACAGGGCACAGGCCAGGGGGUUUGGGCAGGACUUCCUCCCAACCUUCCUGCAGGGGAAGCAGGCAGAUACCUCCUCUGGGGUGCCCUCCCUGCUUCCUCUUGGCCCACCUGACCUUUGGAGAAGAAGCUAAUCUUUCUCUUCUGCUCCAGGGCCAGAGGGCUGGGAAAUAAUUCAAUUGGCUCGAGAGAGAUUAGCAAGAGGAAAGACAAAAUUCAAUUACACACACAUUGAGCUCCCUCCUCCCCCCCAAAUACCAGAACCUGUCAUCUGGUCAAUGCAGGGCAGUGAUUUAGUUUCUGCAAAGGAGGCCAGAAAAACAGGAGUGGGGAGAGAGCAGAAUGACUUCCAGUUUAAAGAAAAAGGGGCUUUUUCAGCAUUUCAAUCUGUGCAUCAAGAGCCAGACCUUGUCAGCCCCAACCAGGGUAGUGGAGCUGUCUCUCAUCUCCAGGUCCAUCUCAGGGGAGACUCUCCCCCAUGUCUUAUCUCCAGGUCCACCACAGGGAAGGUUCCCCCCGUGCGCGAGAGAGGGAUAGUGAGGCAAAGCCAACAGUCUGCUCCUGGCACCUGCCGUGCACUGGGCGUUGCGUGCUGCGUGCUGUGUCUCAUCCGGGCCCCUCUCUGCAGACAGCUGGCAUUUCCCCGUUUGACAGACUAGACACACUGAAGGUGCCCCAGGCCAGCUGCCUCCCUACCAACAGAUGGCGCUGAGUCAGGGGACGGCAGGCACAGGCCUGCAAAGGCCUGGACUGAGGAGCCAGACUGACUGGCCUCGCAUCCUGGCUCUGACCUGUAUUAGCCAACUGCCCCUGGAAAUGCACCCUUCCCCGUCUUUUACUUGUUUUUAAUUUUCCACAGUGAAAACUAGGGUCACGACAGCUGCCUUGUGUUUGGGGCAGUAGUUAGAAUGAGUCGACAUACGUGUAAGGAGCGGUAAAAUAGCUCACUUGGGUAGUACGCUGCUUUGCUGUGUGUGGGAUCCAGGUUCAAGCCCAGCCCCCCCGUGCAUUAGAUUCUUUGUUGGUGCUGUAGUCUCUCCCUCUCUCUCUCUCUCUCUCUCUCUCUCUCUCCUUGUCUCUGACUACUCAUCCUGGAGCAGUAAAGCUCUGGUAAUCUCUCUCUGUUUCUCUCCCCUCCCACUCUCUCUCACACACCCUAAAUGUUAGACUACGGAGCUCAGCGCCUGCCCAGAGCAGCGCACAGACCCCAGGUGAAGCCCAUCUGGCUUGAACUCACGCCCCUGAGAUCGCCUGAAGUCAGUCAGUAGAUGAAGGGCCAGUCUCAGGUCCUGACCCAGGAAGGAAUUUGAGAUGAGUAGAGGGCGGGAGAUAGUUCACCUACAGGAGUGCAUGGUCACCAUGCAUGAGGCCUGGGGUUUGACUCCCAGCACCAGGGAGGCUGCACGGAUGAUAGAGGAGU
Erinaceus europaeus (western European hedgehog) is the source of this 1574-nucleotide long non-coding RNA. RefSeq lists it as uncharacterized. Lineage: Eukaryota; Metazoa; Chordata; Mammalia; Eulipotyphla; Erinaceidae. The record is from RefSeq and is a predicted model, not a curated record. The transcript is spliced from 3 exons.